UACGUAGGGGGCGAGCGUUGUCCGGAGUUACUGGGCGUAAAGGGCAUGCAGGCGGUCGGACGCGUUUCGGGUGACAGCGGGUGGCUUAACUACCCGAGUGGUCGAAAGACGGUUUGACUUGAGGACGCGAGAGGGACACGGAAUUCACGGUGUAGCAGUGAAAUGCGCAGAUAUCGUGAGGAACACCAGAGGCGAAGGCGGUUACCUGGACAGUUACUGACGCUCAGGCACGAAAGCAUGGGGAGCAAAAGGG
This 253-nucleotide ribosomal RNA is filed under the name uncultured bacterium. RNAcentral's name for it is "partial 16S ribosomal RNA". It matches the Rfam family "Bacterial small subunit ribosomal RNA", at positions 524 to 776 of the family's 1533-position model. The record is from RNAcentral.